GACGAACGCUGGCGGCGUGCUUAACACAUGCAAGUCGAACGGUAACGCCCGAGCUUGCUCGGUCUCUCGAGUGGCGAACGGGUGAGUAACACGUGAGUAACCUGCCCUUCACUUUGGGAUAACCCCGGGAAACUGGGGCUAAUACCGGAUAUGAGCUCCUGUUGCAUGGCGGGGUUUGGAAAUUUUUUGGGGUAGGGAUGGGCUCCCGGCCUGUUCGUUUGUUGGUGGGGUAGUGGCUCACCAAGGCGAUGACGGGUAGCCGGCCUGGGGGGGUGACCGGCCACACUGGGACUGAGACACGGCCCAGACUCCUACGGGAGGCAGCAGUGGGGAAUAUUGCACAAUGGGCGGAAGCCUGAUGCAGCGACGCCGCGUGAGGGAUGACGGCCUUCGGGUUGUAAACCUCUUUCGGCAGGGAAGAAGCGAAAGUGACGGUACCUGGAGAAGAAGCGCCGGCUAACUACGUG
RNAcentral lists this ribosomal RNA (467 nucleotides) under uncultured bacterium. RNAcentral's name for it is "partial 16S ribosomal RNA". It matches the Rfam family "Bacterial small subunit ribosomal RNA", at positions 28 to 507 of the family's 1533-position model. The record is from RNAcentral.